This 468-nucleotide ribosomal RNA is filed under the name uncultured bacterium. RNAcentral's name for it is "partial 16S ribosomal RNA". It matches the Rfam family "Bacterial small subunit ribosomal RNA", at positions 28 to 507 of the family's 1533-position model. The record is from RNAcentral.
GACGAACGCUGGCGGCGUGCUUAACACAUGCAAGUCGAACGGAAAGGCCCUGCUUUUGUGGGGUGCUCGAGUGGCGAACGGGUGAGUAACACGUGAGUAACCUGCCCUUGACUUUGGGAUAACUUCAGGAAACUGGGGCUAAUACCGGAUAGGAGCUCCUGCUGCAUGGUGGGGGUUGGAAAGUUUCGGCGGUUGGGGUUGGACUCGCGGCUUAUCAGCUUGUUGGUGGGGUAGUGGCUUACCAAGGCUUUGACGGGUAGCCGGCCGGAGAGGGUGACCGGCCACAUUGGGACUGAGAUACGGCCCAGACUCCUACGGGAGGCAGCAGUGGGGAAUCUUGCACAAUGGGCGGAAGCCUGAUGCAGCAACGCCGCGUGCGGGAUGACGGCCUUCGGGUUAUAAACCGCUUUCGCCUGUGACGAAGCGUGAGUGACGGUAAUGGGUAAAGAAGCACCGGCUAACUACGUG